CCUACGGGAGGCAGCAGUGGGGAAUCUUGCGCAAUGGGCGAAAGCCUGACGCAGCCAUGCCGCGUGAAUGAUGAAGGUCUUAGGAUUGUAAAAUUCUUUCACCGAGGACGAUAAUGACGGUACUCGGAGAAGAAGCCCCGGCUAACUUCGUGCCAGCAGCCGCGGUAAUACGAAGGGGGCUAGCGUUGCUCGGAAUUACUGGGCGUAAAGGGAGCGUAGGCGGAUAGUUUAGUCAGAGGUGAAAGCCCAGGGCUCAACCUUGGAAUUGCCUUUGAUACUGGCUAUCUUGAGUACGGAAGAGGUAUGUGGAACUCCGAGUGUAGAGGUGAAAUUCGUAGAUAUUCGGAAGAACACCAGUGGCGAAGGCGACAUACUGGUCCGUUACUGACGCUGAGGCUCGAAAGCGUGGGGAGCAAACAGGAUUAGAUACCCUGGUAGUCCACGCUGUAAACGAUGAGUGCUAGUUGUCGGCAUGCAUGCAUGUCGGUGACGCAGCUACGACAUUAAGACACUCCGCCGUCGGGGAGGUACGGUCGGCGAAGAAGUUAAAACUAACAAUAGUAAGUUAGUACGGCGUGAGACGUGACCGACGGACGACGACGAGGGAGGUUAGGG
RNAcentral lists this ribosomal RNA (615 nucleotides) under uncultured bacterium. Its description in RNAcentral is "bacterial SSU rRNA". The stretch from base 1 to 518 matches the Rfam family "Bacterial small subunit ribosomal RNA", at positions 338 to 873 of the family's 1533-position model. The record is from RNAcentral.